GUGGGGAAUAUUGGGCAAUGGAUGCAAGUCUGACCCAGCCAUCCCGCGUGCCGGAAGAAGGCCCUCAGGGUUGUAAACGGCUUUUGACGGUGAAGAAUCGACAGGAUGCGUCCUGUUUUUACGGUAGCCGUUGAAUAAGCACCGGCUAACUCCGUGCCAGCAGCCGCGGUAAUACGGAGGGUGCGAGCGUUGUCCGGAUUUAUUGGGUUUAAAGGGUGCGUGUGCUGGAAGGUCAGUCAGCGGUGAAAAGCUAUCGCUUAACGAUAGUCUUGCCGCAGAUACUUCCUUUCUUGGAUGAGGAGGAGGCCACUGGAACGGAUGGUGUAGCGGUGAAAUGCAUAGAUAUCAUCCAGAACACCGAUUGCGAAGGCAGGUGGCUGUACCUUAAUCGACGCUGAUGCACGAAAGCAUGGGGAGCAAACAGGAUUAGAAACCCCUGUAGUCC
RNAcentral lists this ribosomal RNA (445 nucleotides) under uncultured bacterium. Its description in RNAcentral is "bacterial SSU rRNA". It matches the Rfam family "Bacterial small subunit ribosomal RNA", at positions 354 to 796 of the family's 1533-position model. The record is from RNAcentral.